Spinacia oleracea (spinach) is the source of this 975-nucleotide long non-coding RNA. RefSeq lists it as uncharacterized. Lineage: Eukaryota; Viridiplantae; Streptophyta; Magnoliopsida; Caryophyllales; Amaranthaceae. The transcript is spliced from 4 exons. The record is from RefSeq and is a predicted model, not a curated record.
UCUAUUUCACGUAAAACUCAAAGCAAAACCUCCCCUUGCAAACUCACGCGAACCAUCAACCCAUUCUCCUUCUCUCCUCACUGCCGUCAUUACUACUGCUGCCCAGCCGCCACCACCGCUGCGCUUCCUCCUUCGUCGUCCCUCUCCGUCGCCGCCGGACCACCACGCGUCGGCAACCAGCCGCGCCACCGCCGCUGCUCAGCCGCGGACCUCACUUCCUCUUUCCUUUCUCCUUCGCGCAAGUACUCCUCUUUGCUUCUUUCUUGCGCACAGCCACUGUGCUGCCACCGCACCACCACCGAGCGCAACCACCACCUGCUCGGCUGCACCCAGCCGCGUCACCCAGUUCUCCUGACCAACGGCCGCUGCCGCGCCUCCCUUGCCGCCGGCCAACAUUCCUUUGAAUCUUUAAUUGGUGGAGAAUUCUCCGUAGACGACUUUUGAAUUGUUAAAGUGGUCUCGCACUUUGUUUACACAAGACCCAUUUUGGUGAGCAGUCUCUAAGGAUCAAUAAGCGUUGCCCACCUAAAGGUUUGAAGAUGAUGCAUCAUUGGGAUCGGGAUUAGAGAGCUUGUAUUGAAUUGUUUUGCUAAGUGAUUUGGUUUGUUAAAUUGGACUUUAAACUUGUCGUACUAGCUACAUCACUUUUCCAAAAAAAUACUCCACUAUCAACUAACACCCAUUAAAUUAAUAAGUCAAUUCAAGUGUUUUAAGCUCCGCACCGGUCAAACUGGUGCGAGUAUUAGGGGGCAGAGGGAGUAUGAUGCAAGAAACGUUUCGAAAUAUCUAAACUUCGAAAGGCGUUUCGAAACGUCUAAACUUCGAAACACGUUUCGAAAUGUCUAAGAAACGUUUUAUUUCUGUCGAAACAUUUCGUAAUUCUGAACAUUUAAAAUAGGCUGGGAAACGCGGUUUUCGGAAAUAAGACUCUUACAACCCCCAAUUCCCAAUGAUACAAUUCAUAACCUAGGUUCC